GGCCUUUUGAUGCAGAUUUUCAUUGUAGGUACAAUGCUUGAAGUGUUUCUUACCAGAAAUGAUGUGUUUAAACUAGAAGCAAAAAACAAUAGAAUAAAAAAGCAAUUGCUCUCAGAUCUUUUCUUGGUUGGGUGAAGCAAUUUACAGUGAAACCCAGGAGUGGAGGCCCUCAGCAUAACCUAAAGAGUGAUUUGCUGCAGCCACCUUGUGUCGAAAAUGGAAAUUACAGCUCUCAAAAUAUUUUAGCCAGGCAAGGUCAAACUACUGUUAUUAUUGCUCAUUGGCUCUCCAGCGCUCAGACUGCAGAUGUAACAGUAGGCAUUGUGGAUGGCGCAGUGGUUGAAUGGGAACACACACAGAGCUGAUGGAGAAAAAGGAGACAGAUUAUUCACUUACAGCCUCACAGGAAUCUCUGCCCCAAAUGUCUUGCCUGAAGAUACUGAAAUUAAACAAAUAUGAAUGUUCAUUUAUUGGGCGAGAAGGGUUAGAUUUGAAGCUAAGUCAGGCUGCUCAGUGUCUCGUCCAGACGAUCCCUGAUUAUCUCCAGAGAUCCCGCAGCCUCUCUUGGCAGUUUGUGCCUGUGUUUGUUCACCCCACUGUGAACAGUUUGUUCCUAAUAUCAGGCAGAAUUUUGUUUAAGCAGCUAAUGCCUGUAACCUCUCAUUCUUUUGCUGUGUACCUCUGAGAAGAAACUGGCUCCAUCUUCUCUGUAUCUUCCCAUUAAGUAGCUGAGGACAUCAGUUGCUAUACUCCCUUUCUACAAGCCAAACAAGCCCACUUAGCUCAGUAUCUCAAUAGCUUCUCAUACACUGUGUGCUCCAAGGCUCAGUUUAUCUCUGCAGCCUUCUGCUGGACUCAUGUAGGUAUGUCAAUGUCUUUUUUGUACUUCAAAGCCCAGAAUUAGACACAGUCUUCCUGACAUCAUCGCUGUUUCUGAACAGAGGAGAAUAAUCACUUCCUUCCACCUGCUGUCUGCACUUUUACACUAACAGUCCUCUGUACAGUUGCCUUGCUUCACUGCAAGGGCAUGCUGCUCAUCAUGUCCAUAAUAUCAUCCAACAGGAUCAUCAAAUACUAAUAGAAUAGCACAUAUAAAAUAAGUAAGACUGAUAAGCCAGUAGCCAGAAGCUGAAAACUGGAGCAAGACUGUCCCUCACAGGAUAGGCAGUGCCUUGGUCAAGAAACCAUAUAAACAUUUCCAAAAAUGUAUGUGCAUAAACAGUUUUUCAAUGUGUGGCUGAAAUACAUACCUAUAUGUGUAUCUAGGUGUAUCUUAAAUACAUGUAUUCAGUGUAGAUAAGCAUAGGUUAGACUGUCAGAUUUGUACAGUAGAAAUCCACCUGUCAGAUCUAAGCAAACCUCUAAUGACUGUGUGAUGUAAACAAGGCUGUAUAAAAUUCCUAAAUUGUCUUUUUUUUUUUAAUGGAAAUACUCUAUGUAAACAUAAUCUGUUUUCAAAAUCACUAUCCUAACUUCAUCAUAAUAUCCUACCUUAACAUUCCUAUCAGCAAGAGUGAAUUUAUGCUAUUGAUUAGUCUGUUGGAAUUAAAAAAAAAAAAAAAAAAAAAAUCAACUUAAUCCUAGUAUAGAUUUAAAAUUCAUAAUUUUCAUCAAUACAUGUUGUACAUGGUCUGGAAAAUUCCUUUUCAUUUCCAUUCUAAUUUAUUUUGUGCUUUUUUAAGAUACCAUCUAAAUAUUUAUCUGUGGGAAACAAUUUUGAUAAAAGCACUAUAUAUAAAUGUUUAAUUCAAAUUGCAAGUUUACCCAUUUUUCUAAUGCAGCAAACAGCCAAAUCCUAUUACGUUGAACAAUCUGAUAUCAUGAAUAUUUAUCCUAGCACACUGAUGAUUUGUUAUAGUGAGGUUAGAUUUUGUCUUCAACAGAAAUUUAUUUCCACAGUCACAGUUAGAACUAACAGAACCCAUACUGACACGCUAAUGGUGUUCUUUCAAAACGCACAUUAAAUCUCAAUGACUUGAGGUGUACAGAGUUUACAAGACAAAUGUCUUGGAAAACUUUACACCGAGUUCUCAUUCUCAGUCUGAGAAUACUCAUUCAUAUACUAUUUUCCAUUCUUCUCUAUUUUAUUAUCAAGACUGUGACUAAGAACAGUAUGAAAUUAAACAGAAUGAAACCAUGUCUUUUCCAUUACACUUGUGAUAUUUUGCUAAUCACUUAAAUUUUGCAGGUAAUUCUUAUGUUCAAUAGAAUAACUCUUUGAAGAAAUAGUUUCCAUUCUGCUUAUUUAAGUUGUGAUGGAUUUUGUGUCUGCAGCCAAGGGAUCAUGGCAUGAAAAGUGAAGAAGUGUUUGGCUGUGAAACUGUUUUGAUUCAGUCAUUUUAGUAUUUACCUGUAGUACUUUAUUUUAAUAGAUACUGCAAUAAAUUAUAUACACCAUGUAAAAAUAGCA
This 2410-nucleotide long non-coding RNA is filed under the name Anas platyrhynchos platyrhynchos (common mallard). RNAcentral's name for it is "lncRNA (ENSAPLG00000028954.1)". Lineage: Eukaryota; Metazoa; Chordata; Aves; Anseriformes; Anatidae. The record is from RNAcentral.